This 73-nucleotide transfer RNA is filed under the name Gluconacetobacter diazotrophicus PA1 5. RNAcentral's name for it is "transfer RNA-Glu". It matches the Rfam family "tRNA". Rfam says of the family: Transfer RNA (tRNA) molecules are approximately 80 nucleotides in length. Their secondary structure includes four short double-helical elements and three loops (D, anti-codon, and T loops). Further hydrogen bonds mediate the characteristic L-shaped molecular structure. tRNAs have two regions of fundamental functional importance: the anti-codon, which is responsible for specific mRNA codon recognition, and the 3' end, to which the tRNAs corresponding amino acid is attached (by aminoacyl-tRNA synthetases). tRNAs cope with the degeneracy of the genetic code in two manners: having more than one tRNA (with a specific anti-codon) for a particular amino acid; and 'wobble' base-pairing, i.e. permitting non-standard base-pairing at the 3rd anti-codon position. Lineage: Bacteria; Pseudomonadati; Pseudomonadota; Alphaproteobacteria; Acetobacterales; Acetobacteraceae. The record is from RNAcentral.
GCUGUCCCAUUCGUCUAGAGGCCUAGGACGCCGCCCUCUCACGGCGGCAACAGGGGUUCGAAUCCCCUAUGGG